Humulus lupulus (European hop) is the source of this 439-nucleotide long non-coding RNA. RefSeq lists it as uncharacterized. Lineage: Eukaryota; Viridiplantae; Streptophyta; Magnoliopsida; Rosales; Cannabaceae. The record is from RefSeq and is a predicted model, not a curated record. The transcript is spliced from 3 exons.
UAUAGGGUCAACUGAUGCAAAUGACUAUGAUGGUUACACCCAACAUCAACAAAGAGCUGCAUUACCUUAACAAGGAAGAUCGGUUGCUGCGCUGGCUUGUGGUCAAACACCGAGAUGCAAAAUAUGGGCUGGAAUUUCUUAGUGAAGAGGACAGCAGAAAUGAACUCAGUAAGUUUCCUCGAAGCACUUUAUAUGAUAAUCAAGAUGUUGAUGAAGACGAUGACAACGACGAUGAAUAUGCUGUGGAUGAAGAAGAAGGAAAGCAGACAUAAGUAACUAGAAUGACAGGUGAACUUCAUUGGAUUCAAUAGUCAUUACGUUAUGAGGAUGAUGAAGAAUGUACUUAUCAAUGCCCCUCGCAUCAAACAUUUCUUGUCGAAACAGUUCACCUCCGACAAACCAUAUACUACUCAAGAAAUUGACGAAGUUAGAGAAGAAU